Molecule: long non-coding RNA, 653 nt
Organism: Haemorhous mexicanus (house finch)
Lineage: Eukaryota; Metazoa; Chordata; Aves; Passeriformes; Fringillidae
Exons: 2
Source: RefSeq, a predicted model, not a curated record
AGGGGGUCCAGAUGAGGUUAUGGGGUCAGGGCAUGGCUAGGGGAUCAGGGCAGGGGGUCCAUUCAGGAUUAGGGGGUCAGGACAGGAUUAGGGGGUCAGGACAGGUUCAGGGAGUCAGAGGAGGGGAUCCAGGCAGGGUUAUGGGGUCAGGACAGGGGGUCCAGGUGGGGUUAUAGGGUCAGGACAGGUUUAGGGGGUCUAGACAGGGUUAUGGGGUCAGAACAGGGUUCCAGACAGGGUUAUGGGGUCAGGACAGGUUUAGGGGUCAGGACAGGGGGUCACAGGGUCAGGACAGGGUCCAGGCAGGGGACUGGGGGCAGCGACCCCACACAUUGAGCAGAGCAGGGACCCCCUCCCCCAGCUCCCCCUCACACUGAGGGGACCCCCACCCUCCUCAGCACCUCCCAGCACAGGGGUGACCAGAAACAUUUAAUGGGUUUUGUGUAAAAAACAGUACAAAAGGUACAAAACCAGGGCAGGGGCAGCCCCGGGGGGUUUGGCUGCUCCAUGGGACCCCCGCGGCCAGGGGAGGUGACAGUGACAACACAGGGGACACUGGCAGUGUCCAGGGCUCAGAAAUCUCCUUGAAGAUCUGCAAAAAAUGAGAAAUGGGGAGGUUUUUCCAGAGAAAACAAAGAUGUCACAGCAACAGC